UCCCUCAUAGCUCAGUCAGUAAAGAAUCUGCCUGCAAUGCAGGAGACCUGGGUUCGAUUUCUCAGUUGGGAAG
Molecule: non-coding RNA, 73 nt
Organism: Ovis aries (sheep)
Lineage: Eukaryota; Metazoa; Chordata; Mammalia; Artiodactyla; Bovidae
Source: Rfam